RNAcentral lists this ribosomal RNA (409 nucleotides) under Bacillota bacterium. RNAcentral describes it as "Firmicutes bacterium partial 16S ribosomal RNA". It matches the Rfam family "Bacterial small subunit ribosomal RNA", at positions 355 to 776 of the family's 1533-position model. The record is from RNAcentral. Lineage: Bacteria; Bacillati; Bacillota.
UGGGGAAUAUUGCGCAAUGGGCGAAAGCCUGACGCAGCGACGCCGCGUGAGGGACGAAGGCCUUCGGGUUGUAAACCUCUUUUAGCAGGGACGAAGCGAGAGUGACGGUACCUGCAGAAGAAGCACCGGCCAACUACGUGCCAGCAGCCGCGGUAAUACGUAGGGUGCAAGCGUUGUCCGGAAUUAUUGGGCGUAAAGAGCUCGUAGGCGGUCUGUUGCGUCGGCUGUGAAAACCCGGGGCUCAACCCCGGGCCUGCAGCCGAUACGGGCAGACUAGAGUUCGGCAGGGGAGACUGGAAUUCCUGGUGUAGCGGUGAAAUGCGCAGAUAUCAGGAGGAACACCGGUGGCGAAGGCGGGUCUCUGGGCCGAUACUGACGCGGAGGAGCGAAAGCGUGGGGAGCAAACAGG